This 22-nucleotide microRNA is filed under the name Anolis carolinensis (green anole). Its description in RNAcentral is "aca-miR-5429". Lineage: Eukaryota; Metazoa; Chordata; Lepidosauria; Squamata; Anolidae. The record is from miRBase by way of RNAcentral.
AUAGUCAUGCUGGAGGACCUCG